GGCUACCUGGCGCAAUGGUAGCGCGUUUGGCUUCGAUUGCCUCACGAGCUUAAAAGCACACCAAAAGGUUGCAGGUUCGAGUCCUGCGGUGGUCA
Non-coding RNA from Irpex rosettiformis, 95 nucleotides. The record is from the annotation of a GenBank genome assembly. NCBI's taxonomy places the organism in Eukaryota, Fungi, Basidiomycota, Agaricomycetes, Polyporales, Irpicaceae.